Callorhinus ursinus (northern fur seal) is the source of this 2161-nucleotide non-coding RNA. The record is from RefSeq and is a predicted model, not a curated record. NCBI's taxonomy places the organism in Eukaryota, Metazoa, Chordata, Mammalia, Carnivora, Otariidae.
AUGGCGAUGCGCUCCUGCCGAGAGAAGGCUCAGAAGCUGAACAAGCAGCACCAGCUCAUCCUGUCCGAGCUGCUAAGGGAGGAGGACAAAAGUACUGCCCCGACUGAGAGACCAAAGGUCCUCCAUGGGCUUCCUGGAAUAUUGGUGUAUUUAUUUGCAUCACAUGUGCUGGAAUCCAUAGAAAUCUUGGGGUUCAUAUAUCCAGGGUCAAGUCAGUCAACCUAGACCAGUGUACACCAGAACAGAUAUAGUGCAUGCAAGAUAUGGGAAAUACUAAAGCAAGACUACUCUAUGAAGCCAAUCUUCCAGAGAACUUUCGAAGACCACAGACAGAUCAAGCAGUGGAAUUUUUCAUCAGAGAUAAAUAUGAAAAGAAGAAAUACUAUGAUAAAAAUGCAAUAGCUAUUACAAAUAAAGAAAAGGGGGAAAAAAAAAGGAAGAGAAAAAGAAAGAAAGGAGCCAGAAAAGCGUGCAAAACCUCUUACAACUGGAAAGCUGCAGAAGAAAGAAGAUCAGCAUUUGGAGCCCAAAAAAAGUACCAGCCCUAAAAAAGCUGCAGAGCCCACUGUUGAUCUUUUAGGACUUGAUGGCCCUGCUGAGGCACCAGUGACCAAUGGGAACACAACCACGGUGCCAUUCCUGAAUGAUGAUCUGGACAUCUUUGGACCAGUGAUUUCUAAUCCCUUCCCUGCAACAGUCAUACCCCCAGCUCAGGGGAUGCCCUCUAUACCUGCAGCUGCCACUUUGUCUACAGUAAUAUCUGGAGAUCUGGAUCUGUUCACCGAGCAAGCUACAAAGUCAGAAGAGGUGGCAAAGAAACAACUCUCCAAAGACUCCAUCUUAUCUUUGUAUGGUGCAGGAACCAUUCAGCAGCAGAGUACUCCUGGUGUGUUUAUGGGACCCACAGAUAUACCAUUUACCUCACAAGCACCAACUGCCUUUCAAGGUUUUCCAUCAGUGGGUGUGCCUGUGCGUACACCUGCAGCUCCUGGCCUUCUCGGAAAUGUGAUGGGACAGAGUGCAAGCAUGAUGGUGGGCAUGCCCAUGCCCAAUGGGUUUAUGGGAAAUGCACAGACUAGUGUGAUGCCACUUCCUCCAAAUGUGGUUGGCCCCCAAGGAGGAAUGGUGGGACAGAUGGGUGCACCCCAGAGUAAGUUUGGCCUGCCGCAAGCUCAACAGCCCCAGUGGAACCUCUCACAGAUGAUUCAGCAAAUGGCUGGCAUGAGUAUCAGUAGUACGAACCCAACAGUGGGUUUUGGCUAGCCCCCCAACACAACACCACCCCCCAGCAGGAUGGUCUGGAAGCCUAUCGGGUCAGACUCUCAGCACACAGCUGUGGAAGUGAAAACUGCAAUGCAAGUUUCAUCCAGAACUACCACCUGACAUUCCUUGCUAAAACGCAUCUAGUUCCCCUGUUUAUUCAUGUACAUAUACUUUUUUUCUUUCUCUCAUUUGUCAUAUUAAGAAUUAUCUGACUGACCAUGUUGGUUUGUACUGAUUAAAUUUGAUGUGAAAAGCAGGUUGAGAAACCAUUUUAUGUCAAGGGCAGCUUUGCUCAUUUCCUAUGAUUUCAUAAACCACAUUAUUUGAGAAGCUCAGUCAACUUGCAUUAUCAGUUUUACUCUCAAUAAAAUUAUAGCUCUAAUAUCUGCAUUUAAGAGAAGUAGUUACCAUGUUAGUAAUACCUCUAACAGUAUAAACCCCACCCCCAAAUUAGCCAGUAAUCCUUAGGAAGGUACUAUAUGAUCAAAUGUGUAAUCAUAUAAAUAGAAUGUAAAUAUAUCACUGAGCACUGUUUUCCAUUGUAUCGAAAUUCUUUUAUUUCAUCAUUCACUUCACUGUGCUGUUGUUAUGAUGUGCUUAAUAGGGAACGUUGUUAGUGAAAGGAAGAUAAACCUGGAUGUUACUACAAAACUUAGUUUAAUGAAUGUUUAAAGAACUCAAAUUUUACCUGCCUCUCCUGUAAUUUGGAUCUCUUCUUAUGUACAUAGUGCUAAUAACAUGAAGACCUUUCUCUGCACUAUAUGCAAACAGGGCAACUAAACAAAGCCACUUUCAAUCCUUGAAGGUAUGUCCAGGUUUAUGACAGUAAUUGUGUUUACAUUUUAUGGUGCCUAGUAUUGACAAAAUGUUAUAUCCCUAUAUUAAACAGAUGAAUCCA